GAUGAACGCUGGCGGCGUGCCUAAUACAUGCCAGUCGAGCGAACGGACGAGAAGCUUGCUUCUCUGAUGUUAGCGGCGGACGGGUGAGUACCACGUGGAUAACCUACCUAUAAGACUGGGAUAACUUCGGAAAACCGGAGCUAAUACCGGAUGAUAUUUUGAACCGCAUGGUUCAAAAGUGAAAGACGGUCUUGCUGUCACUUAUAGAUGGAUCCGCGCUGCAUUAGCUAGUUGGUAAGGUAACGGCUUACCAAGGCAACGAUGCAUAGCCGACCUGAGAGGGUGAUCGGCCACACUGGAACGGAGACACGGUCCAGACUCCUACGGGAGGCAGCAGUAGGGAAUCUUCCGCAAUGGGCGAAAGCCUGACGGAGCAACGCCGCGUGAGUGAUGAAGGUCUUCGGAUCGUAAAACUCUGUUAUUAGGGAAGAACAUAUGUGUAAGUAACUGUGCACAUCUUGACGGUACCUAAUCAGAAAGCCACGGCUAACUACGUG
This 497-nucleotide ribosomal RNA is filed under the name uncultured bacterium. Its description in RNAcentral is "partial 16S ribosomal RNA". It matches the Rfam family "Bacterial small subunit ribosomal RNA", at positions 28 to 507 of the family's 1533-position model. The record is from RNAcentral.